RNAcentral lists this ribosomal RNA (425 nucleotides) under uncultured bacterium. RNAcentral describes it as "partial 16S ribosomal RNA". It matches the Rfam family "Bacterial small subunit ribosomal RNA", at positions 354 to 796 of the family's 1533-position model. The record is from RNAcentral.
GUGGGGAAUAUUGGGCAAUGGGCGAAAGCCUGACCCAGCAACGCCGCGUGAAGGAAGAAGGUUUUCGGAUCGUAAACUUCUAUCCUUGGUGAAGAUAAUGACGGUAGCCAAGAAGGAAGCCCCGGCUAACUACGUGCCAGCAGCCGCGGUAAUACGUAGGGGGCAAGCGUUGUCCGGAAUGAUUGGGCGUAAAGGGCGCGUAGGCGGCCCGGUAAGUCUGAAGUGAAAGUCCUGCUUUUAAGGUGGGAAUUGCUUUGGAUACUGUCGGGCUUGAGUGCAGGAGAGGUAAGCGGAAUGCCCGGUGUAGCGGUGAAAUGCGUAGAGAUCGGGAGGAACACCAGUGGCGAAGGCGGCUUACUGGACUGUAACUGACGCUGAGGCGCGAAAGUGUGGGGAGCAAACAGGAUUAGAAACCCGAGUAGUCC